GUCUCCUUAGCUCAGUUGGUAGAGCAAGGGACUUUUAAUCCUUGGGUCCAGGGUUCGAGCCCCUGAGGAGACA
This 73-nucleotide transfer RNA is filed under the name Weissella ceti. RNAcentral's name for it is "tRNA-Lys (TTT) (tRNA-Lys-TTT-2-1)". It matches the Rfam family "tRNA". From Rfam's summary of the family: Transfer RNA (tRNA) molecules are approximately 80 nucleotides in length. Their secondary structure includes four short double-helical elements and three loops (D, anti-codon, and T loops). Lineage: Bacteria; Bacillati; Bacillota; Bacilli; Lactobacillales; Lactobacillaceae. RNAcentral also lists the same sequence under 2 other names. The record is from Rfam by way of RNAcentral.